AGGAAUGCACCGUGGCUCUGCUUAGCUGAAGAUGGAGACGUAAUAUUUAUUUGCUGAUGUGGAGCCCUCCACACGCUGCCCUGUCGGGAUGUCAAUAUAUAACGCAGCAGCACAGAAAUGUCAGCUUGUUCCACGGGAGCGACAGCGUUUCUCCGAGUUGCCAUGGGGGACCCCCGAUGCCUUUUUUUCUUUUUGGUCUGCCCUUGACCUAAUCUCAGGAGGUUUUGUUCUCUCCUGGGCUGUUUCUUAUCAGCUGUGUCUGCCCGUGUAGCCGGCUUCACAUCUGCUUUGACUUUAGUGCCUGUGACAUUUUCAUUAAUACUUCUCCAAGGUUGAGCCCUAUUCCAAAUACCCUGCAGCUCACGGAAGCUGUAGCUCAGCUGUGCCCGGCUGGGGGCUGCUGGGAAACUGGCCCCUCAUAUCGAUGAGCUUGGCCCGCUCCACCCAGUUGGGCCAAUCAGUCCUGCUGUGCUGGGUGGGGGGCUCUGGAGCCCAUCUAGGUCAGCAGAAUUGGGGCGUCAGACCCCAUGGGUGUGGCUGCCCAGGAAGUCUUGACUUCCCCUGGCCUGGGAUUACCUGCCCUCUGCCAGCCAGUCUUGUCCUCCCUCCUGCUGAAACUCAGAGCCUGGCCCAGGGAAGAUGAGCUCACAGUGGGCACAGGGUUCUGAC
This 669-nucleotide long non-coding RNA is filed under the name Marmota monax (woodchuck). Lineage: Eukaryota; Metazoa; Chordata; Mammalia; Rodentia; Sciuridae. The record is from RNAcentral.